GACGUAUUCUAGUCUCUCUCUGUCUUAUCGUAUCUCGAAAACUAAAAGAUCUCGGAAGGAAGGAAGGAACUGGUAAGAGCUUAGCUUGAUCUCGCGCUCUUGUUAAGUAAAAGGAGAGAAGGAGAUGUCAGGGAAAGGAGCCAAGGGAUUGAUAACGGGAAAAACCCCAGCCCCAAAAGAUAAAGAUAAGAAGAAACCCACUUCUCGCUCCUCUCGCGCUGGUCUGCAGUUUCCUGUUGGCCGUAUCCAUCGUCUUCUGAAAUCUAGGGUAACUGCACAUGGAAGAGUUGGUGCAACAGCAGCCGUAUACUCUGCUGCUAUCUUAGAGUACCUCACAGCAGAAGUGUUGGAGCUGGCUGGUAAUGCAAGCAAGGAUCUGAAGGUGAAACGUAUAACACCGAGGCAUUUGCAACUAGCAAUUCGUGGUGAUGAAGAACUUGACACCCUCAUCAAAGGAACCAUAGCUGGAGGUGGUGUGAUCCCUCACAUUCACAAGUCUCUAAUCAACAAGUCGUCCAAGGAGUAAAAAAUUGCAGUCCAUUAUUGUUAUUAACUCGGUCAUGGAUGGAUUGCUGUAAAUUGGCUAAUACAUUAUCGGCGGAUAAUUGGGCCCUCUAUUUUGAUUGAUAGCUAUUCUCUUUAAGUGGAUUGUGAGUUGUAACCAAAUAUUUGUGGUUUCAUUGGUAAAUUUUUGCUUGUUCGUGUAAUGUGGCGAUACUGUCGAAUGCACAUAAAAUUGCGUGGAAAUAAAUAUGAAUGGAUCACUAUUAAACACAUAUAUCCA
Molecule: unclassified non-coding RNA, 784 nt
Filed under: Hevea brasiliensis (rubber tree)
Lineage: Eukaryota; Viridiplantae; Streptophyta; Magnoliopsida; Malpighiales; Euphorbiaceae
Source: RNAcentral